Molecule: ribosomal RNA, 495 nt
Filed under: Veillonella dispar
Lineage: Bacteria; Bacillati; Bacillota; Negativicutes; Veillonellales; Veillonellaceae
Description: bacterial SSU rRNA
Rfam family: Bacterial small subunit ribosomal RNA
Source: RNAcentral
GACGAACGCUGGCGGCGUGCUUAACACAUGCAAGUCGAACGAAGAGCGAUGGAAGCUUGCUUCUAUCAAUCUUAGUGGCGAACGGGUGAGUAACGCGUAAUCAACCUGCCCUUCAGAGGGGGACAACAGUUGGAAACGACUGCUAAUACCGCAUACGAUCUAACCUUGGCAUCGAGGAUGGAUGAAAGGUGGCCUCUAUUUAUAAGCUAUCACUGAAGGAGGGGAUUGCGUCUGAUUAGCUAGUUGGAGGGGUAACGGCCCACCAAGGCGAUGAUCAGUAGCCGGUCUGAGAGGAUGAACGGCCACAUUGGGACUGAGACACGGCCCAGACUCCUACGGGAGGCAGCAGUGGGGAAUCUUCCGCAAUGGACGAAAGUCUGACGGAGCAACGCCGCGUGAGUGAUGACGGCCUUCGGGUUGUAAAGCUCUGUUGAUCGGGACGAAAGGCCUUCUUGCGAACAGUUAGAAGGAUUGACGGUACCGGAAUAGAAAGCC